RNAcentral lists this ribosomal RNA (519 nucleotides) under uncultured bacterium. RNAcentral's name for it is "bacterial SSU rRNA". It matches the Rfam family "Bacterial small subunit ribosomal RNA", at positions 791 to 1310 of the family's 1533-position model. The record is from RNAcentral.
UAGUCCACGCCGUAAACGAUGUCAACUAGCCGUCGGGCUCAUUUAAGGGUUUGGUGACGUAGCUAACGCAUUAAGUAUCCCGCCUGGGGAGUACGGUCGCAAGAUUAAAACUCAAAGGAAUUGACGGGGGCCCGCACAAGCGGUGGAGCAUGUGGUUUAAUUCGAUGCUACGCGAAAAACCUUACCUGGACUUGACAUCCCGCGCUACCCUGGGAAACCAGGGGUUCUCUUCGGAGACGCGGUGACAGGUGCUGCAUGGCUGUCGUCAGCUCGUGUUGUGAGAUGUUGGGUUAAGUCCCGCAACGAGCGCAACCCUCGUCGUUAGUUACCAUCAUUAAGUUGGGCACUCUAACGAUACCGCUAGGCUAUAAGCCAGAGGAAGGUGGGGAUGACGUCAAGUCCUCAUGGCCUUUAUGUCCAGGGCUACACACGUGCUACAAUGGAAAGUACAAUGCGCUGCUACUACGCGAGUAGAUGCUAAUCGCAAAAAACUUUCUCAGUUCGGAUUGGAGUCUGCAA